Molecule: ribosomal RNA, 440 nt
Filed under: uncultured bacterium
Lineage: Bacteria
Description: partial 16S ribosomal RNA
Rfam family: Bacterial small subunit ribosomal RNA
Source: RNAcentral
CCUACGGGCGGCAGCAGUGGGGGAUAUUGCACAAUGGGGGAAACCCUGAUGCAGCGACGCCGCGUGGGUGAAGAAGCGCCUCGGCGCGUAAAGCCCUGUCAGCAGGGAAGAAAAUGACGGUAACUGAAGAAGAAGCACCGGCUAACUACGUGCCAGCAGCCGCGGUAAUACGUAGGGGGCAAGCGUUAUCCGGAGUUAAUGGGUGUAAAGGGGGCGCAGACGGCGAUGCAAGCCAGGAGUGAAAGCCCGGGGCCCAACCCCGGGACUGCUCUUGGAACUGCGUGGCUAGAGUGCAGGAGGGGCAGGCGGAAUUCCUGGUGUAGCGGUGAAAUGCGUAGAUAUCAGGAGGAACACCGGUGGCGAAGGCGGCCUGCUGGACUGCAACUGACGUUGAGGCCCGAAAGCGUGGGGAGCAAACAGGAUUAGAUACCCGGGUAGUC